This 471-nucleotide ribosomal RNA is filed under the name uncultured bacterium. Its description in RNAcentral is "bacterial SSU rRNA". It matches the Rfam family "Bacterial small subunit ribosomal RNA", at positions 76 to 520 of the family's 1533-position model. The record is from RNAcentral.
CUCUUCGGAGGCCGAGUAGCGUGGCGAACGGGUGAGUAACACGUGCCUAACCUGCCCAUCUGUGGGGGAUAACCUGGGGAAACUCGGGAUAAUCCCGCAUACGCCUGCCAGGCCGCAUGGCCUGGUAGGGAAAGGUGGCCUCUGCUUGCAAGCUGCCGCAGAUGGAGGGGGGCGCGGCCCAUCAGCUAGUUGGUGAGGUAAUGGCUCACCAAGGCGACGACGGGUAGCCGGCCUGAGAGGGUGGUCGGCCACACUGGGACUGAGACACGGCCCAGACUCCUACGGGAGGCAGCAGCGGGGAAUAUUCGGCAAUGGGCGAAAGCCUGACCGAGCGACGCCGCGUGGAGGAUGAAGGCCCGCAAGGGUCGUAAACUCCUGUCGGGAAGGAAGAAGGGACAGAGGGUUAAGAGCCCUUUGUCUUGACGGUACUUCCAGAGGAAGCCCCGGCUAACUCCGUGCCAGCAGCCGCGG